Molecule: ribosomal RNA, 253 nt
Filed under: uncultured bacterium
Lineage: Bacteria
Description: partial 16S ribosomal RNA
Rfam family: Bacterial small subunit ribosomal RNA
Source: RNAcentral
UACGGAGGGUGCAAGCGUUAUCCGGAUUUACUGGGUUUAAAGGGUGUGUAGGCGGGUCUAUAAGUCAGACGUGAAAUCCCUCGGCUUAACCGGGGAACUGCAUCUGAUACUGGAUGGCUUGAGAUUGGGAGAGGGAUGCGGAAUUCCAGGUGUAGCGGUGAAAUGCGUAGAUAUCUGGAGGAACACCGGUGGCGAAGGCGGCAUCCUGGACCAACACUGACGCUGAGGAGCGAAAGCCAGGGGAGCAAACGGG